UACGGAGGGUGCAAGCGUUAUCCGGAUUUACUGGGUUUAAAGGGUGCGUAGGUGGGUAGGUAAGUCAGUGGUGAAAUCUUCGAGCUUAACUCGGAAACUGCCAUUGAUACUAUUUAUCUUGAAUACUUUGGAGGUAAGCGGAAUAUGUCAUGUAGCGGUGAAAUGCUUAGAUAUGACAUAGAACACCAAUUGCGAAGGCAGCUUACUACACAGUCAUUGACACUGAGGCACGAAAGCGUGGGGAUCAAACGGG
This 253-nucleotide ribosomal RNA is filed under the name uncultured bacterium. RNAcentral describes it as "partial 16S ribosomal RNA". It matches the Rfam family "Bacterial small subunit ribosomal RNA", at positions 524 to 776 of the family's 1533-position model. The record is from RNAcentral.